CUUUCGUUAGGGAUGGUAGUGAUAUCCUUUAUUGCCGGGGUUCGGCAAUAAAGAUAUAACGAACAACCCAACCCUUG
RNAcentral lists this small RNA (77 nucleotides) under Flavobacterium sp. 5. RNAcentral describes it as "Flavo-1 RNA". It matches the Rfam family "Flavo-1 RNA". Lineage: Bacteria; Pseudomonadati; Bacteroidota; Flavobacteriia; Flavobacteriales; Flavobacteriaceae. The record is from RNAcentral.